CGGCCUCAUCCGUGGCGUCACUGCGCUCUCAUCCAAGCACGAAGAAGAGAAGUUAAUCCAGCAGGAACUGAGUAGUCUGAAGGCGACUGUUUCUGCUCCUACUACAACACUGAAAAUGAUGAAGGAAUGUAUGGUGAGACUUAUAUACUGUGAGAUGCUUGGAUACGAUGCUUCUUUUGGUUAUAUACAUGCAAUCAAGUUGGCCCAACAAGGAAACCUCUUAGAAAAAAGAGUGGGCUGUCUGAAAAUCCCCAGAGGAGUCACAGGGCCGUGUAGGGAUGGAGCAUCCAGUGAGCGUGAUACCGCCACGCUUCUAGGAAUGAGCAGUCUUCAUGGAUUGGCUGACUCAGGUGCUGGAGCGGGAAGAAGAGGAUAGAGUACAACAUUCCACGUACUGAGCUCCGCUCCACCCCAGACCUUCUACCUCCUACAUUAGUUGUGGCCUUUUCCCAAAGCAAAGUGUUCUGUGUUAUCUUCUGAUUCAUAUUCCAAAUUAAAUUUGAAUUUGAACUCUUCUGAGUUCACUCUGUGACUCCCUCCAUCUUGUACCUUGUGGUCAUAAGUGUCUUUUCCUCCUAUAUAUUAAUUUUCAUAUACUAAUGCUUUGGCUUUCAAACUAAUCAAGCCUUUAAUAAUCCUAAGCUUUUUGUGUUAUUAAAGAAAUCUUUAAAAUUG
Molecule: long non-coding RNA, 675 nt
Filed under: Rattus norvegicus (Norway rat)
Lineage: Eukaryota; Metazoa; Chordata; Mammalia; Rodentia; Muridae
Description: long non-coding RNA NONRATT018566
Source: RNAcentral